RNAcentral lists this ribosomal RNA (393 nucleotides) under uncultured sludge bacterium. Its description in RNAcentral is "bacterial SSU rRNA". It matches the Rfam family "Bacterial small subunit ribosomal RNA", at positions 524 to 916 of the family's 1533-position model. The record is from RNAcentral.
UACGUAGGUGGCGAGCGUUGUCCGGAAUUAUUGGGCGUAAAGAGCAUGUAGGCGGCUUAAUAAGUCGAGCGUGAAAAUGCGGGGCUCAACCCCGUAUGGCGCUGGGAACUGUUAGGCUUGAGUGCAGGAGAGGAAAGGGGAAUUCCCAGUGUAGCGGUGAAAUGCGUAGAUAUUGGGAGGAACACCAGUGGCGAAGGCGCCUUUCUGGACUGUGUCUGACGCUGAGAUGCGAAAGCCAGGGUAGCGAACGGGAUUAGAUACCCCGGUAGUCCUGGCCGUAAACGAUGGGUACUAGGUGUAGGAGGUAUCGACCCCUUCUGUGCCGGAGUUAACGCAAUAAGUACCCCGCCUGGGGAGUACGGCCGCAAGGUUGAAACUUAAAGAAAUUGACGG